GUGAAGUAACAGUAAAGCAGCUACUGACUAUCAAGUUGAAAAAUGCAGAUGCAGUUCUAAAUUGUUCAACAUGGUGUAUGUGGGACACAUAGUGGAUAGGAAGCAUGUCAUGGUGUAUGUGGGACACAUAGUGGAUAGGAAGCAUGUCACGGUGUAUGUGGGACACAUAGUGGAUAGGAAGCAUGUCAUGGUGUAUGUGGGACACAUAGUGGAUAGGAAGUAUGUCACGGUGUAUGUGGGACACAUAGUGGAUGGGAAGCAUGUCACGGUGAAUGUGGGAAACAUAGCGGAUAGGAAGCAUGUCACGGUGUAUGUGGGACACAUAGCGGAUAGGAAGCAUGUCACGGUGUAUGUGGGACACAUAGUGGAUAGGAAGCAUGUGACAAUGUGAAGUAACAGUAACACAGAAUGGCUGGAGACCAUUAACUUCAGAACUGAAGAGAUGCAGGUCUUUGUUCUAAAUGGUAAAUGAUGGAACCAUGGCAAAGUUUUGGAUAUAUAAGGUGUGAAGUUACAGAAAAGCAAAAUAGCUACAGACCAUGAACUUAAGAAAUGAAGAGAUGCAUGUCAUUAUUCAGCAUGGUGUAUAUGGAAACAUUGUGGAUUGCAGAAAUGAAAUGAUUUA
Molecule: long non-coding RNA, 625 nt
Organism: Mercenaria mercenaria
Lineage: Eukaryota; Metazoa; Mollusca; Bivalvia; Venerida; Veneridae
Exons: 3
Source: RefSeq, a predicted model, not a curated record